Molecule: non-coding RNA, 1526 nt
Organism: Cricetulus griseus (Chinese hamster)
Lineage: Eukaryota; Metazoa; Chordata; Mammalia; Rodentia; Cricetidae
Source: RefSeq, a predicted model, not a curated record
AGAGCAGCCGGUGCUCUUAACCUCUGAGCCAUCUCUCCAGCCCUUAUUUCUAUUUUUAAAUUAUGUGUAUAGGCGUGUGUCUGUGUGGGUGUGUGCUUGUGAGUACAGAUGCCCAUGGCAGUUGUUAGAGUGUUGGAUCCGCUGCAGCUGGAGUUGCAGGAGAUGUAAUCCUCCCUGCAUGGGUAUGGAUGCUGGGAAAACAAACUCGGAUCCUCUCCAAAGGUGGGAAGUGUAGACACUUGUCCCGAAUGUGCCUGAAUCGCCAAAGAUUCACAGCAACGGAGGAUGCUGAGGAUCCACAGCUGAGGAUGCCGAACUGAACCCUCUGAAAUUGUGACUCAAAAUCAGUAUUUCUCCUACAGGUUGUUACCCUUGGGUAGUUUGUCCCAGCAGCAGAACGCUGACAUCCUCGGGUCUGAUCAUUCCUCGGAAGGACUCACACAACCCCUGGGUGCUGUGAAUCUUGUUGGCACAGAGGUUUUUAUUUCGUUAUGUUACAUGUAUGGGCAUUUUGCCUACAUAUAUGUCUGUGUGACACAUGUGUGCAGUGUCCUGGAGGCCAGAAGACAGCAUCAUAUCUCCUGGGUCUGGAAGUUGUGAGUCACCAUUUGGGAUUUCAGCCUGGUCCUCUGGAAGAACAGCCAGUGUUUUUAACCUCUGAGUCAUCGCUCCAGACCCUGGUCACAGCUUCUUACAGAAAAGAAAGAAAGAAAGAAAGAAAGAAAGAAAGAAAGAAAGAAAGAAAGAAAGAAAGAAAGAAAGGUAUUAAAAUCCACUAGAGAAACAGAGGUCUGGGGGAAGACUCCUGCACAACGCUUCCAAAUGGUCGCUCCUGAUGUGUGGACAGUGUUAACUUCUUCAAGCAACAGCUUGGGACAGGGCACGUGCCUGCUGUCAUGAUCCCAGUGUCAAAUGUCCCCACAGGAUCAUUCUGGUGGUCUAGCCAGUGAUGGCGUAACUUUAGAUGGCCUUAGAAACAUGGGGCCUCAUCAGAGGACAUUGGUUCCAGGGGGUAUUCCUUUAAGGGUUAUAGGAUACGUGCUCUCUUAUCCCUCCCGGAUCUCUCCGCUUCCUGAAGUGAACAGCCUCUCACACACACUGCCACUACCAGGACGCCCGAGUCCAUGGCCAAGUAACCAUAGACUGAACUCUCUGAAAUCAGGAUCCCAAGUGAUUCUUCCUCCCUUAAGCAUCUUCUCAGUUUUGCAGCAGAACAACCAACCGGGGGUACCCACAGUUAUCUUGGUGUCUGAGGUUUUUACUGGGGCUGCCUUACACCUGAUGGUUGAUACCACCAUGGUGGCGGCAUUAGCUUCCAGCUGCUAAGGAGAUGGGACUAAGACUGUGUGACACUCACCACAAAUUACAUAGUUAUACACCCUCUAGUAUGACCAGAAGCAUGGACUGUUAAGAUAAAUCUUUCCAUCAAAAGCUGCUGAGCCCCACCGCCACGUGUGUGCUUUAUGCCAGCCACCCGCCUGAGUUAGGGCCCAAAUGAAUACACAGAAACUUGUAUUAGGUUCAAA